UGCCCUUAACGUCUGGGAGUACCAUUUGGUAAACAGAUGCUAAUACCGGAUAAAAGACUACUUUCGUCAUGAAAGAAAGUUUAAAAGGUACGGCGUAAGCUGUCGCUAAAGGAAUGGACAUGCGAUGCAUUAGCUAGUUGGUAAGGUAACGGCUUACCAAGGCGAUGAUGCAUAGCCGAGUUGAGAGACUGAUCGGCCACAUUGGGACUGAGACACGGCCCAAACUCCUACGGGAGGCAGCAGCC
RNAcentral lists this ribosomal RNA (245 nucleotides) under uncultured Lactobacillus sp. Its description in RNAcentral is "partial 16S ribosomal RNA". It matches the Rfam family "Bacterial small subunit ribosomal RNA", at positions 127 to 355 of the family's 1533-position model. Lineage: Bacteria; Bacillati; Bacillota; Bacilli; Lactobacillales; Lactobacillaceae. The record is from RNAcentral.